Molecule: ribosomal RNA, 920 nt
Filed under: uncultured bacterium
Lineage: Bacteria
Description: bacterial SSU rRNA
Rfam family: Bacterial small subunit ribosomal RNA
Source: RNAcentral
GCAGCGCGGGGCAACCUGGCGGCGAGUGGCGAACGGGUGAGUAAUAUAUCGGAACGUGCCCUGGAGUGGGGGAUAACGCAGCGAAAGUUGCGCUAAUACCGCAUACGAUCUAAGGAUGAAAGCGGGGGAUUCGCAAGAACCUCGUGCUCCCGGAGCGGCCGAUAUCUGAUUAGCUAGUUGGUGGGGUAAAGGCCUACCAAGGCAUCGAUCAGUAGCUGGUCUGAGAGGACGACCAGCCACACUGGAACUGAGACACGGUCCAGACUCCUACGGGAGGCAGCAGUGGGGAAUUUUGGACAAUGGGCGAAAGCCUGAUCCAGCAAUGCCGCGUGAGUGAAGAAGGCCUUCGGGUUGUAAAGCUCUUUUGUCAGGGAAGAAACGGUGCGGGCUAAUAUCCGGCACUAAUGACGGUACCUGAAGAAUAAGCACCGGCUAACUACGUGCCAGCAGCCGCGGUAAUACGUAGGGUGCAAGCGUUAAUCGGAAUUACUGGGCGUAAAGCGUGCGCAGGCGGUUUUGUAAGUCUGUCGUGAAAUCCCCGGGCUCAACCUGGGAAUUGCGAUGGAGACUGCAAGGCUAGAAUCUGGCAGAGGGGGGUAGAAUUCCACGUGUAGCAGUGAAAUGCGUAGAGAUGUGGAGGAACACCGAUGGCGAAGGCAGCCCCCUGGGUCAAGAUUGACGCUCAUGCACGAAAGCGUGGGGAGCAAACAGGAUUAGAUACCCUGGUAGUCCACGCCCUAAACGAUGUCUACUAGUUGUCGGGUUUUAAUUAACUUGGUAACGCAGCUAACGCGUGAAGUAGACCGCCUGGGGAGUACGGUCGCAAGAUUAAAACUCAAAGGAAUUGACGGGGACCCGCACAAGCGGNGGAUGAUGNNGAUUAAUUCGAUGCAACGCGAAAAACCUUACCUACCCUNGAC